Molecule: ribosomal RNA, 342 nt
Filed under: uncultured Thermus sp.
Lineage: Bacteria; Thermotogati; Deinococcota; Deinococci; Thermales; Thermaceae
Description: bacterial SSU rRNA
Rfam family: Bacterial small subunit ribosomal RNA
Source: RNAcentral
UGCUGCAUGGCCGUCGUCAGCUCGUGCCGUGAGGUGUUGGGUUAAGUCCCGCAACGAGCGCAACCCCGCCGUUAGUUGCAGCGGUUCGGCCGGGCACUCUAACGGGACUGCCCGCGAAAGCGGGAGGAAGGAGGGGACGACGUCUGGUCAGCAUGGCCCUUACGGCCUGGGCGACACACGUGCUACAAUGCCCACUACAAAGCGAUGCCACCCGGCAACGAGGAGCUAAUCGCAAAAAGGUGGGCCCAGUUCGGAUUGGGGUCUGCAACCCGACCCCCAUGAAGCCGGAAUCGCUAGUAAUCGCGGAUCAGCCAUGCCGCGGUGAAUACGUUCCCGGGCCUU